GUGGGGAAUAUUGGACAAUGGGCGCAAGCCUGAUCCAGCCAUACCGCGUGGGUGAAGAAGGCCUUCGGGUUGUAAAGCCCUUUUGUUGGGAAAGAAAAGCAGCCGGCUAAUACCCGGUUGUUCUGACGGUACCCAAAGAAUAAGCACCGGCUAACUUCGUGCCAGCAGCCGCGGUAAUACGAAGGGUGCAAGCGUUACUCGGAAUUACUGGGCGUAAAGCGUGCGUAGGUGGUUGUUUAAGUCUGUCGUGAAAGCCCUGGGCUCAACCUGGGAACUGCGAUGGAAACUGGGCGACUAGAGUGUGGUAGAGGGUAGCGGAAUUCCUGGUGUAGCAGUGAAAUGCGUAGAUAUCAGGAGGAACAUCCAUGGCGAAGGCAGCUACCUGGGCCAACACUGACACUGAGGCACGAAAGCGUGGGGAGCAAACAGGAUUAGAAACCCUAGUAGUCC
This 450-nucleotide ribosomal RNA is filed under the name uncultured bacterium. RNAcentral's name for it is "bacterial SSU rRNA". It matches the Rfam family "Bacterial small subunit ribosomal RNA", at positions 354 to 796 of the family's 1533-position model. The record is from RNAcentral.